This 866-nucleotide ribosomal RNA is filed under the name Candidatus Kaiserbacteria bacterium. RNAcentral describes it as "partial 23S ribosomal RNA". It matches the Rfam family "Bacterial large subunit ribosomal RNA", at positions 2462 to 2912 of the family's 2925-position model. Lineage: Bacteria; Candidatus Kaiseribacteriota. The record is from RNAcentral.
GUUACCCCGGGGAUAACAGGCUGGUACUGCCCAAGAGUCCAUAUCGACGGCAGUGUUCGGCACCUCGAUGUCGGCUCACCUUAUCCUGGAGCUGGAGCAGGUUCCAAGGGUUUGACUGUUCGUCAAUUAAAAAGGUACGCGAGCUGGGUUCAGACCGUCGAGCAACGAAGUUGCUUGACUAGUAAAAAGUUGAAAAUAGGAAGUUUAUAAAAACUUCGUAAUUCGACAGUCUGAGUCCACUCUAACGACACAAAAUCAAGGUACUUUUCGUCUAUUAAAUGAGAAUAGCUUCUAUCGUAUUGCGAUAGAGGCGAGAGCAAUCUAAUCACGGCGGCCAAGCACCACUUUUUCAAAAAGUUGGUGCUUGGUGAAGCUGACUAAAUUCGGUGGAAUCCUAUCUGGUUUUCAGAGGGCAAUACCGAUGGAAGCUGAGGCAGCUCGCUAACGCGACUGCACUUGGAUUUUCUAAAGCGAAGUGUCGCUAAGAAAAUCUCGGCGCCAGUAGAGACUGAACGUCAGCUAUCUUUGCACUAUCAUGGUGUAUAAGUUAAAGCUACAGUCCAAUGCACAUAGUAAUAUGUGAGAACAUGCGUGAGACAGGUUGGUCUUAAUCUGCUGUGGGCGUCGAUUUUUGAGAGGAUUUGUUCCCAGUACGAGAGGACCGGAAUGAACUAACCUCUGGUGUAUCAGCUGUUCCGCCAGGAGCACUGCUGAGUAGCUAUGUUGGGAAUGGAUAACCGCUGAAAGCAUCUAAGCGGGAAGCCAACCUUAAGAUUAGAAAUCAUAGACCCCUAGGAGAUGACUAGGUGAUAGGCUCUAGGUGUACGCACAGUAAUGUGUUUAGCCAAGGAGUACUAAUACGUCGU